This 259-nucleotide ribosomal RNA is filed under the name uncultured bacterium. RNAcentral describes it as "partial small subunit ribosomal RNA". It matches the Rfam family "Bacterial small subunit ribosomal RNA", at positions 26 to 285 of the family's 1533-position model. The record is from RNAcentral.
AGGACGAACGCUGGCGGCGUGCUUAACACAUGCAAGUCGAGCGGUAAGGCCCUUUCGGGGGUACACGAGCGGCGAACGGGUGAGUAACACGUGGGUGACCUGCCCUUAGCUCCGGGAUAAGCCUGGGAAACUGGGUCUAAAUACCGGAUAUGACCUCAUGACGCAUGUUGUGGGGUGGAAAGCCUUGUGCGGCUAGGGAUGGGCCCGCGGCCUAUCAGCUUGUUGGUGGGGUGAUGGCCUACCAAGGCGACGACGGGUA